GGAAGCAGGGGAUCGUAAGACCUUGCGCUUUUGGAGCGGCCGAUGUCUGAUUAGCUAGUUGGUGGGGUAAUGGCCUACCAAAGCUUCGAUCAGUAGCUGGUCUGAGAGGACGGCCAGCCACACUGGGACUGAGACACGGCCCAGACUCCUACGGGAGGCAGCAGUGGGGAAUUUUGGACAAUGGGCGCAAGCCUGAUCCAGCCAUGCCGCGUGAGUGAAGAAGGCCUUCGGGUUGUAAAGCUCUUUCAGCCGGGAAGAAAAGGCUGCGACUAAUAAUCGCAGUUCAUGACGGUACCGGAAGAAGAAGCACCGGCUAACUACGUGCCAGCAGCCGCGGUAAUACGUAGGGUGCGAGCGUUAAUCGGAAUUACUGGGCGUAAAGGGUGCGCAGGCGGUUUUGUAAGUCAGAUGUGAAAUCCCCGGGCUUAACCUGGGAACUGCGUUUGAAACUACAAGGCUAGA
This 462-nucleotide ribosomal RNA is filed under the name uncultured beta proteobacterium. Its description in RNAcentral is "bacterial SSU rRNA". It matches the Rfam family "Bacterial small subunit ribosomal RNA", at positions 202 to 645 of the family's 1533-position model. The record is from RNAcentral. Lineage: Bacteria; Pseudomonadati; Pseudomonadota; Betaproteobacteria.